UAGGGGAGCACAAUGGAUUACUAAAUAAUUUUGAUAAUUAUCAAAUUAUUAUGUUAUGUUCAAGAAUUAAUGUUAGAUGACACAUUAUAUAUGUUAUGCCCAAAGACUGAAAUUGCACAAUGACCAAAAAAAAACUUGUGAACAGUUUCAAAUGACCAAACACCAAUGCUAUAUUAGCAUCAGUGUUUGUUUAUUUGGAACAUUGGUGUUUGGACAUUAUUUCGCUUUGUGGCCAUUGAGGGGUAACCAUAACACAUUGUGGGCAAUUCUGUCAAAACCAAUAUACAUUCUGGGCAUUUUGAUAUAACCCUAGACCAUUCUGAAACCGUAUGAAACAGCAUAUGAUUGUAGUGCCAUGCUCCAUGUAUGGUGGCCAGAUGGCUGCGUGGUAACAUGUUGGCAUGUCAUAUAGGAGGACCUGUGUUUUCAUCCCAGGUCCUUUUAUGUGGCCAUCUCCAAUACACCACUAAAUGGUCAAAGUUCAACUUCUACUAACAGCGCGGGCAUGCUUUUUUUUGUUUUGCUAUUUUGCACUCG
Molecule: long non-coding RNA, 537 nt
Filed under: Androctonus crassicauda
Lineage: Eukaryota; Metazoa; Arthropoda; Arachnida; Scorpiones; Buthidae
Source: RNAcentral